AGAUGGGUGUUGAAUUAGUGUUGGAC
This 26-nucleotide non-coding RNA is filed under the name Cricetulus griseus (Chinese hamster). Lineage: Eukaryota; Metazoa; Chordata; Mammalia; Rodentia; Cricetidae. The record is from RNAcentral.